Non-coding RNA from Pelobates cultripes (western spadefoot toad), 449 nucleotides. Lineage: Eukaryota; Metazoa; Chordata; Amphibia; Anura; Pelobatidae. The record is from the annotation of a GenBank genome assembly.
CUGCAAUACUCUGGUAUUUUGAUAUCUUUUUAUAUAUACAUCUCAAAUAUUUAAUAUAAUAUUUUUAGGCGCCCUGUGCGAAAAAAUUUCACAGCGCCCCUCCCUGGUCACACCUCCUCAUCCGUGUAUAGUGCAUGUUUAGGGGCUUUAUUAAAUUAAUAGUUAUUAAAAAAAAGAUUAAAGGGAAACUAUAGUCACCAUAACGACUUUAGCUCACUGAAGCAGUUUUUGGAUAUAGAUCUAGCCUCUGAAUUUUUUUCUGCUCAUUUAUCUGCCAUUUAGGAGUUAAAUCACUUUUUGUAUCUGUUUAUGCAGCCCUAGUCACACCUCCCCUGGCUGUGACUGACACAGCCUGCAUGAAAACAACAAGAUUUAAUUUUCAAUCAGAUGUAACUUACUUUUAAAGUUUUUAUCUCCUGCUCUGUAAAUGGAACUUUAAUCACACACAG